UCAAUAGUGCUACUUUAUUAGUAUCUGUGUAUAAAUAAGAUGGAACAUACAUAUUCAUUCACAACAUCUUUAAAUAAUGAAGCUGUACAAAAUGAACAUGAGGAAAUUGAUAUCACCUCAAGUUCAGGAGAUUCCUUAUUAAUUGAUUUGGUGCGAGGAUAUCUUCAUCUAUAUGAUAAGUUAUCGUCCAAUUUUAAAGACUCAAUUAUGAAAGAAAAUUCAUGGAAUGAAAUUGGACAAAUAAUGAUGUGUCCACCUACUGAAUGCCAAAAUCGAUGGACUAGAUUAAGAGAAAGAUUCUCAAAAGAUAGAAGAGAAAUUGAACUGGAAUGUAAAAGUGGAAGCGGAUUAUCUCAACGUAAAGAUUUUGCUUUUUAUGAAAAUAUGAAAUUUUUAGAAAAAUACGUGCAAAGAAGAAGGUAUAUAAUAUGGUUAUUUAGAUGUAAUUUUUAGAUAUAACUAAAGUUUUUAGAGGAUUAGAGCCUUACAACUGACCUCUAACCAGUCACAAUACUUGAACAGUAGAAAAUCUCUAGGCACCGACCGCUGUGAAUCAAUUGCAACGUGAUCAAUUGCAACGUGAUCAAACGGAACGCUCUCGUUUUUAAAUAUGCUAUACUAAUAUGGCUAAAAAUGAAAAAAAUAAGAAGAAUAAAUUUCUUGACUAAUGUACUGCAACAUGAAAACGGAAGGCAAUCUAUAACUACAUUAAAUUUAUCUUGUAAUGUAAAAUUUUCUCCAGUAAAAUUAAGCUCUGCAUCUACAAGUAUUCCCUGCCAAUUAAAUAAAAGUUUUGGAAUAUUAUGUUCAUCUCGAAAAAUUGAAAACAAUGUGAUGCCAGAAUCACUAAAUAGUACAAUUUUAACAAGUGUUACUCCAAAGAAGUCUGAAGAAUGCUUAUCGGCAUCUUCAACAUCGUCAUGUGAUUUAACACAUUCAUCAUCAUCUAUUUUAAAAUAUGAUAAAUGUUUUACACCAGCAGUUAAAAAACAAAAAAUGGAAUCGGAUAAAGUUGAAAAAUCUAUCUUAACGUUAUCA
Solenopsis invicta (red fire ant) is the source of this 1038-nucleotide long non-coding RNA. RefSeq lists it as uncharacterized. The transcript is spliced from 3 exons. NCBI's taxonomy places the organism in Eukaryota, Metazoa, Arthropoda, Insecta, Hymenoptera, Formicidae. The record is from RefSeq and is a predicted model, not a curated record.